This is a small nuclear RNA of Otolemur garnettii (small-eared galago), 109 nucleotides long. The record is from Ensembl. NCBI's taxonomy places the organism in Eukaryota, Metazoa, Chordata, Mammalia, Primates, Galagidae.
AUGUAGUAUGAAAGGAGAAAGGGUAGCAGUGCCCUCGACAAGAAGGGACGAGGCCCUUAGGCUUGCCAACUUGCACAAUUCAGGCAUUGCCAUCUACCCUCCAUUUUUA